This 79-nucleotide small RNA is filed under the name Escherichia coli. RNAcentral describes it as "partial RtT sRNA". It matches the Rfam family "RtT RNA", at positions 54 to 130 of the family's 130-position model. From Rfam's summary of the family: This family represents a bacterial cis-regulatory element known as RtT RNA. The record is from RNAcentral. Lineage: Bacteria; Pseudomonadati; Pseudomonadota; Gammaproteobacteria; Enterobacterales; Enterobacteriaceae.
GCCAGCGAGAAAGCGUUGCCGCAGGCAACGACCCGAAGGGCGAAGCGCGCAGCGCUGAGUAAUCCUUCCCCCACCACCA